GGGGGGAUAGCUCAGUUGGGAAGAUCUGGGCUUGGAUUUACCUUGCAGUUUCUGUAAGGUCGUAGGUUCGAAUCCCACUCCCCUCU
Neurospora tetraspora is the source of this 86-nucleotide non-coding RNA. The record is from the annotation of a RefSeq genome assembly. Lineage: Eukaryota; Fungi; Ascomycota; Sordariomycetes; Sordariales; Sordariaceae.